GACGAACGCUGGCGGCGUGCUUAACACAUGCAAGUCGAACGCUGAAGCACCAGCUUGCUGGUGUGGAUGAGUGGCGAACGGGUGAGUAAUGCGUGAGUAACCUGCCCUUGACUCUGGGAUAAGCCCGGGAAACUGGGUCUAAUACUGGAUGCUACAUGUCACCGCAUGGUGGUGUGUGGAAAGGGUUUACUGGUCUUGGAUGGGCUCACGGCCUAUCAGCUUGUUGGUGAGGUAAUGGCUCACCAAGGCGACGACGGGUAGCCGGCCUGAGAGGGUGACCGGCCACACUGGGACUGAGACACGGCCCAGACUCCUACGGGAGGCAGCAGUGGGGAAUAUUGCACAAUGGGCGAAAGCCUGAUGCAGCGACGCCGCGGGAGGGAUGACGGCCUUCGGGUUGUAAACCUCUUUCAGCAGGGAAGAAGCCACAAGUGACGGUACCUGCAGAAGAAGCGCCGGCUAACUACGUG
This 470-nucleotide ribosomal RNA is filed under the name uncultured bacterium. Its description in RNAcentral is "partial 16S ribosomal RNA". It matches the Rfam family "Bacterial small subunit ribosomal RNA", at positions 28 to 507 of the family's 1533-position model. The record is from RNAcentral.